GGACUGAAACGAGAAUGGAAGCCGAUAAAGGAUCACGACAGUAUUUAUAGAGAGCUCGUUCCUACGGCAACGCAGCUAGCUGAAACCGGCCUCCCAUCCACGUAUGAACCGGUUUAGCCUUGUUACCUCAUCCACAUGGUGGAAGCGACACACAGACACAGGGGCCGCUAGACAAUUACCAUAUACAAGAGUACGGAAAGGUACAACCAGUUCAAACCAGCCUCAUAUUUACGUAAAAAAAAACUUGAGGCGUGUCACCACAUUGAGAAAUGCCUACUCACGUUGGCAGACAGCAACAGUCUGCUGGCCCUGACUGACAGCAUGCUGGAUGGCAGCCUGCUCUUGACCUUCCUAAUGAGAUUAAAGGAGAUCACAAGAUGACUAGGAGAUGGCAUGGUGUCAACACAGUCACAUGUCACAACAGCUCUGUAAAGUUCUAUGAAGAUAUACAAUGAAUGUGUUUUACUUGA
Long non-coding RNA from Micropterus dolomieu (smallmouth bass), 470 nucleotides. RefSeq lists it as uncharacterized. Lineage: Eukaryota; Metazoa; Chordata; Actinopteri; Centrarchiformes; Centrarchidae. The record is from RefSeq and is a predicted model, not a curated record. The transcript is spliced from 2 exons.